AGAUCAUGAAAGACUUCUUAAUAGGUAAUAAAUUUAAAAUUUGUGAUUUUCAUGAGCAUAGUCAACAACUCAACAUAGAGCCUAUUGAAGACUGUUCUAUCUUUUGAGUAAUUUUAAUUUGGCCAAAGUUCCAAAUUGGCCACCUAAUUUAUACUAAGCAUUUUAUAUUUCCCCUAUAUUUCAGUUGUAGUAUAUCAAUCCCUUUAGUAUUCACAAUUGGUUAAUUAAGUCUAAUUAUAACUGUCAUUAAUGCAUGAAAGCAUACACCAUUAAUUGGCAAAAAUUAAAAUUUCUUUUGGUACAAUUGGCAUUGAUUAGGACUUAAAUUUGAGAUCUUAUAGUCCUAAAGAUGACUCCAGUGCCAUUAAAGUAAAUCUCAUUGGUGGCAAAAAUAAAUAUUAAAUUAAUUAAUUUGAUAAAAGAUCAAUUUUAAAAUUGCUCAAUUCUAUUUACUAAACUUACAAAAUACUAUGUUUUAAAUCUUUUGAGGAGGGAAUUCUAGUUCUAGAACCUCCCUAAUUCAAUUACCACUAUUGCGGGAUCCAUGACUGAUUAUCUUAAUGUUUAUCUUACUUUUUUUUUUUUCAAAAAGAAAAUAUAUGUUUCAAAACAGGUUCAAAUUUGAGGGUUAAAACCCUAGUAGAAUGGUGUGAGAGAAAGGGAGAUGGUGGUGGAUUUGUUCACCAUCAUCACUUCCUCCUAUCUUUAUAAGGCUAACUGGCCUAGGAAAUCAAAUCCUUCUCUCUUCAAUCUUAAGGAACCAAUUUAACAUAUAUCCACUUUCUACUCCUAAGAUAUUGACAAGCUCCAAAAGGUGCUCAUCAAGUUCAACACUAAUGGUGGCUGCAAAUUUUCAUCUUUGAGCUUGGUGGAAAUUUAAAAGUGAUGGGUGGAUAUGCGCUUACCAAGUUAUGGGAUGCACUUGACAUGUAUGGUAAGAAUUCACUUGGAAGAGGUAUUGAUGAUAAAAAUUCUAAUGGAAAAAGUAUUGCAGUGGUUGGCAGCUAAGCAUGGGUGUGAUCUGGUUUCGGUUCUAAUGGCUGUGGACCAGACCGAAGGGUUCCACUUGGUUCCAACUUGGUUUUCUUCAAUUCAGCUCAUCUGGUUUGAUUUGGUUUGAUCAAUUCUGAUCGUCAAAAUUUUUUAUUAAGUGAAACUCCAGUUUAGACCCAGAAUUGGACCAAUCCUGUCAAAAUCGGUCCGGUCCAGUUCAAGGUGGUUCUAGUCAAAUGGGUUUGACUGGUUAUAGUCCAAACCUGGACUGGGCCCAUGUCUACUAGCAGCCAUGGCUAAGCAAAAAUGAUUAAUAUAAGAUAAGUUUUAUUAGAGAAGUCUAGGGUUUGUGGGUUUUAUCUAGUUUAAUGAUGCAGUGGGAACAAAAAGAGAAGUAAGAAUAGAAACGUUGAAAUCGCUAUGUGUAUUAAUAUUUAAUAUUUGAUCGACUACAAUUGAAAGACAACAUUGACUAGGUAUGAGUUUAGUGGCCAAUAUAGACAUCUGGCCUUUAGUUUAAGCAAUGUUCUUUGGGCAUUUCCUGAGACAGAGACUGCUUCUUUACAUAAAGUAGAAUGAUGCAGAAGAGUAAAAGUAAUCCUGUCCCAUUCUGUGGGAUUCUGGUUUAACUUGUUUGGUUUUCUUUCUUCAUUAUGAUAUGUCUAGUACUUAUGUUAUAUCAAAGCUUAUAUGAUAUCUUUAAUCUAGAUUACAGGUAUAUGACUUUUU
RNAcentral lists this unclassified non-coding RNA (1722 nucleotides) under Hevea brasiliensis (rubber tree). Lineage: Eukaryota; Viridiplantae; Streptophyta; Magnoliopsida; Malpighiales; Euphorbiaceae. The record is from RNAcentral.